CAAUCCUCUGCACUGCCUCGGCGCACCUCCCAGCACAGCAGGGAAAGCACUGAUGUUUGGAGGUGCAAAGGGACUGGAAGAAGGGCCUUCGAAGUAUGGCCUCAGAAAACACCAAUAGGUAGCCUGGGACAUUGGGACUGGAAGAAGGACCUUCGAAAUUUUGCCUCUAAGAACACCAAUAGGUAGCAUGGGACGGACUGGAAGAAGGACCUUUGAAAUUUGGCCUCAGAGAACACCAAUAGGUAGCAUGGUGCAUUGGGACUGGACGAAGGGCCUUCGAAAUUUGGCCUCAGACCAAUAGGUAGCAUGGGACAUUGAGACUGGAAGAAGGACCAUCGAAAUUUGGCCUCAGAGAACACCAAUAG
Ornithodoros turicata is the source of this 365-nucleotide long non-coding RNA. RefSeq lists it as uncharacterized. The transcript is spliced from 6 exons. Lineage: Eukaryota; Metazoa; Arthropoda; Arachnida; Ixodida; Argasidae. The record is from RefSeq and is a predicted model, not a curated record.